CUUCUUGUCUUCACAGCCUGAAGGCAGAAUGUGAAGGCUGAACAGCUAUGAUUUACCCGGUUCUGCAUCCAUUAAGAAUAGUGUGUUGAAGUUGCUCAUUCAUCUCCUUAGAGAGCGGGGAAAAGGAUGCACUGUGCAUUUGGAUAAUGGUUCAUAUGUUUCAAGCUCUGAAGAGGGGCAUGGUUCAAUCCCUAGUCAGCUCUUGGCAUAACUUCCUAAGAGAAUGAGGUAAGAGGGCAGGGCAGUAGAAGGGGUAAUAUGAGAACAAGUAUCAAAGGUGACUGUUCUAACAACAAACAUUCACUGAGCAUCAGCAACAUGUAUUACUUUAUAAAGUAAUUCUUAAUCCUAUGAAAGCCUCUCAAGCUCUGUAGUCUUGCUCCCCCCCUUUUCUCAUUUAUAGGAAACUGGCAUUUAGAAAAGCUAGUAACUUGUUCAUAGUCAAUCCAACUAAGUGUCAUGGAACUGGGAUUUAAACCCAGGUCUGUCUGAAUCUAAGAUUCUUGUUCCUUCCACUUUAUUGUGUGUCCACCAGAUACAAUUUUGUUGUCAUUCUUCUCCAACUUGCCACCUUGCUCUCAUCUCUCCGGAGCAGGUGGCUUUCUUCAUGUUUCACUUGGUGUCAAACUCAUGUUGUGUGCCAGCACUGUCAUGGUCCAAACUCUCUCAUUUCAUAUAUCUACAUCAAAACUUAAGUCUUUGAACCCAGCACCAGCAAAAAUUCAAAUCUCAGCCAGGUGUAGUGGUGUACAUCUGUAAUCCUAUGGCUCGGGAGGCUGAGGCAGGAGGAUUGUGAGUUCAAAGCCAGCCUCAGCAAAAGUGAGGCGCUAAGCAACUCCGUGAGAUCCUGUCUCUAUAUAAAAUAAAAAAUACUGCUGGGAUGUGGCACAUGGUCAAGUGUCCCUGAGUUCAGUCACCAGUAGCCACCGUACCCCCCCCCCCGAAAAAAAUUCAAAUCUCAAUUGGUGCCAUUUAUUUCUUUGUCUUUGCUGACCCCAACCUCUUGUAAACCUACUCACUGUCUCCUGACCAUCCUGUCUGAUCCUCAUGAAUUCUGAGCUAGUCUAGUUCCACCCACACUCAGGCAAUCAACAAGUCGCUGAUCAUAUCCUCCCUUCUAGAGAUCUUUCAAAGUAGUUCACAGGGGCUCUGCCCUAAACAUUGGCAAAAUUCACCCCUAGUCUUUGGAGUUGCUUUUCCCAGCAAUGUUUCUUUAUCAGUUUGGUGCAUUUCCUCAUUUGUAAAGUAAUGUAUCUCUCAUCUGAAUGCCUGCAAGCUUCUUUCCCUAUUCAUUCCUAUGAUUCUAAGUAGCAUUGUCCAUUGUCCAAAACAGAUGUCCAGUGAAAUAACCAUUUAGUACCUAACAUAAAUACAAGUUCAUAAAUGACUGAGAGAACAAACAUGAACCAUAGACUAUUUUGUGUGUGUGUGUGUGUUUUCCACAAAAGAGAGUUCUUUGAACAAGAUGUGUGUAGGUACUUAGGGGAAAGUUCUUAGUUCAUGCACCACAUAUCCCACUAUGUUUUGUUUGUUUGUUUGUUUGUUUUGUUUUUUGUACUCCACACUCAAUCCACAAACUUCUAUUAACUUUGGAGUCACUGUGUGCUGUUUCUCAGUUUUAUUAUUGUGUAUCAUGUGAAUAGUUCACAAAGGCCAGUCAGACCUUUUUUUCUUGGUCUUAGUUCCUCAGCUCCACCCUUAAAUUUUGUAUUUUUCACAAUACAUCAUUUUUUGGUGUUCCAAGCUGUGGACAUUUUUAGUAGUUUUUCCCAUUGUGGAGCGAGAGUGAUUUCUCAUAUUUUCUACGAUUGCUAUGUAAAGUGACUAGAAAGAUAAAUCUCCGCACUGAAAUGCAGUGUGAUUGAACCAUCUAGAUCCACAGUAGAGAGGCAGAUGAUGAACAAGCUUCUGCCAGGCACUGGACAGCUGGAUGCAUUUCACAGCUCACAGUGCAACCCUGCUCAUGAGAACAAAUGAAGACUCACAGGUCUGUGAGAAAGCAGCAGUGGGAUGGUUGCAGACAGCUGGAUGUAAUUACCCACCUCACCCAGAAUGUGAAAGUGAAAAUUAACAGCUGUUGAAUCAUGGGGUGAGAGUGCCCUUCUAGCCGUGCAUGGGCUAGGCACAUACUAUUUCAUCAAAUGCAACACAGCAAAGUCCUACGGAGAAUCACAGUAAAAAUGGCAGUCCUACAAGAAGCAGCAUGAAUCUUAGGUCCUGUAAAACUCAGUCCCAACCACUCAGUCUGACAUAAUAGAGCUGCCCUCCUCUUGUGAGGAUCCCACUCUCAAUAUCAGUUCUCUUUUCUAGCUUAGUUCUUCCUUUUCUGUGUGUGCUUAUUUCCAGGAAAAUCUUCCUGUUAGUAGGCAACCUCACAUCUUCCUUUCUAAAUCUUUACAGGCUACUCCAUAUAGCAUUAGCUUUAGAAUCACAAAUUCACUGCUCACAGCUGUGUGUUACAAGGCAAGAGCACAGCCUCAUUUCCUCAUCAGUAAAAUUUUUAUUAUCACCUCCAAUUUUUAGGAGUAAGUAUGAAAUGAGAACUUGUGAAGUGCUUAGUACAGUCUCUGGUGGGUAGAUUAGUUCUUUACUAGUUCUUUUCUAUGAGCCUCGAGGACAGAGUCCUGGUGAGAUGCCUAUUGGAUAAUAAGUUGUAGAUUAAUAGGAGUUGUUGGCUUAUGAUCCACUUCUUGAACUAAAAAUGACCACAUUUCUUCAGAAUGGGUCCUUUGAAACUGUCUUUUAAUGAAAUGGAGGAGGAAUGAGUAAAUCUGUAUAAUAAACUAUAAUGAUUAUAAUUUAAUGAAUUUAAUUGCACCAUCAAGAGAUAACAAUUGAUAUGAUACAGUGCUAUCACAUAUGCAAGGAGGAUUGUUCUUUUCUUACUGUUAAAGGGGAGAUGUUUGUGGCACAUAUGCAUACACAGGGAUAAAAGAACACCAGUCUCAAGCUUUAUUUGGAAUACUGUCGAGUCUGAGAAAAAUCUGAAUUUGACUUUCAGAAAUGAAUUCAUGAAGCUCUAUAUGUCUGAAAUUCCAGAUAAAUAUAUGACUGAUAUAUUUCUGUAAUAUGGCCAGAAGUCUUCGGGGAGGGGAGAAAGGAGCUAUUAAUGCAACUUUCUGCUUCUGAAUUUUUGCACUGUGCUGGUGGUACACUAAGUGGACACCAAGUGCUAUUGACCAGCAUAAGAUGAAAUGGCAAUGACAUCAUCACUUACUUCUUAAUAUUUACUAUUUAACACCAUCCCAGAAUUUUCUUGUAUAAAAUAAAAUGGUAAUGACCUCAUCACUUGCUUCUUAAUAUUUACAAUUCUCUUUUCAGCACCAUCCAGGGCAUUUUCUGUCAUUAAAUGAACUGACAAUGACCUCAUUACUUGCUUCCUAAUAUUUACAAUUCUCUCUUCAACUCCAUCCAGGGUUUUCACUCUUUAAGGCCUUAAAUUCAAAUUUCUCUAGUAAAAAUUAAUUCUAUAGUGUAGAGGUUCUAGUCAAUGUAUCUUUUUGUACACUUUAGAUAGACGUAUAUAAAAUUAUACAGCCAUGUGUCUGCUCUAGGUCAAGAGUGAGGCUUGUAGUGAAAGUGAAUCAUUAAUCAAUACAAUGUGGGUGAAUUAAGAUUUCUUUUAGCUGUUAUGACCAAUCCAGAUAUAGUCAGAGGACUUUUGGCCCCUGAAAACUUAUGUCCACAUCCUAAUGCCGAGAAUCUUUGAAUGUUACCUUAUUUGAAAAAAGAAAACAAAAAGAUCUUUGCAGAUAUAAUUGUGUUAAAGUUCAUGAAGUGAGUAUGUAAUUCUGGGUUAGUGAACAGUCCUUAAAUCCAAUGAUAGAUAUCCUACAAGAGGCACACACAUAAGAGAAAAAGACAUUCUAUCCAGAGUGGCAGAGAUUGAAGGGAUGUGGCCACAAGUCAAAAACCACCUGAAGCCCUCUAAAGCUGGAAGAGGUAAGGAAGGAAAUCUCCCCUAGAUCCCCUAGAGGCAGCACAGCCCAGCUGGCUGCUAGAUUUCAUACUUCUAGAUCCUACCACUGUGAGAGAACACAUUUCUAUUGUUUGAACGCACUAAGUGUAUGAUAAUUUGUUAUAGGAGUCACAGAAAACAAAUGCACGUGGCUAAUUUUAAUUCUGACAUUCUCCAACAACAAGGAUACCUUUUCACUCUGUUCAAUAACAACAUUUUUAGGUCUGCCUCACUUAUAUUUUUUCUUGGCAUUUUUUCUUAUCUGCAGACUAUAGCAAGACAACCAGCUCUUUCUCACGUGGAUGAUGGCUACCAAAAUGUGUGGUUUGUAUUAAGGGGAAGGUUUUCUGUGGCUCCAUUUCUUUACAUCUGCAAAUGAUGUUCUGAGGGCCUGCCAACAGGCCCUGUGCUUUUUGUUGUCUCAUCCUAACAGGUCCUCCUUAGUCUGCUUUGGUUUAUCUGCUUAUAAAUCAGUGUGAGGUUGGAGCACAGAAGAUCUGGAGCACAGGUUUCUUACUCUUCCAUUCAACUGCCAUAAAACUUAAUCAUAAUCAACAUGCCUAUGUGAACUAACCCCAUAUUCAUUGCCUGAGCAAUGAACAGCUCAAUCUUAAGCCUUAGGAAUGAGUACUUUCUCCAAACACACCACUGGGGAAAUAGAGAUAUUUAUGGUGAAUGAUGAUGCUUUCAACAGUUAAGCAUGAUGUUGAUGUUGCACUCACUUAAGAAGCAAGGUUUGUCAUUCCAUGGAAUUGAACUAUUCAAUGGGAAUACCAAUAUUCACACUUUCAGGGACAGAGGCAAAACAUAUGGAGGAAAUUCUUGGAUUUACAUGCAAAUAAAUGCUGUAUGAUUAAAAUAAAUGAAAAGAGGAGGAGGGUAUAUAUGCAGGCAGAGUAAGGAGAAAGCAAUUGAUUUACUGACCUAUAAAAUUUGAAGGAGCAUUAGAUAACUUACAGGGUUUCCUGUGGCUCUAAAAUAGGGGUGUGUGAAAAAUUGAUCCUGUGGGUACUAUCAGUCUACAGACAUGUUUUGUAUGGUUCAGAUUUAUUCUAUUAAACUUGGAUGUGAAAUUUAAAACUCAUAAUAUCACACAUUAAAAUCCAGAUUUAUGACUUAUCUUGAAAAAUGGAAAAGUUUGGGAAUACUGGGCCCACAUUUUCAAUGGGCAAUAAUGAGCUGGCAAUCCCCUGAGCCCUCUGAGGUAUGUACUCUGGGUCACCUCUUUCUUUCCACUUACUCUAGGGACUCCUCUAAAUUACAUUGUCCCUUAUUAUACUUGAUACUUUCAAAUCUGUUUAAAGCUUUUGUCACUCUGAUUUUCUAGCUUAGUGACCCAUUCAUUCAAUGUCAUUUUAAAACCUCAUACAUAAAAUCACCUAAGAUAAAUUCUUCCCUGGGACUGCCUUGUCUGCACAGAAUCCUUUCCGCUCUCUCUGCAAACAUGAUUGAAGACCAUACUGCACUAUUUUCUAUCAUUAAACAUGUAGUAUACCAGAUUUGGGUCUGUUUUCUUCAAAAUGUCUUCAAGUUUCCUAAGGGGCUGAAGUUACUGUUGGAUAUUUUUGAUAAAUGAAUGUAUUUUAUUUUGCAUUUAAAAGACAUAUUCUCACUGCCUUCACCUUCAUUUUCAAAAUGAUAGAGCUAAAAUAUAACAAAAUUGGGGAAAUAUCAUUUAUCUUAUGAGAUUGGCAUAUCAACUGCCAGUUUCUUCAGGUAAAUUUGCAUUUUCACAUGUUUAAAUCUUUCUGAUAUUUUAGUUUCUAAUUAUUGCUUUGUCUCAAUUAUAAAUUCCUCUUACCUUAAAAAAUUUUUUAUCACCUUCAGAUAUUAAAAAGUUUCUGAAAAAAUUAGGUACAUAUCAUUUUUAUAGUAACCUAAAUCAUUUCUCACCAAAGUUUUACCUUAUUUGGUGAAAUUUGGGGCGUUGGCUACUACAUUCUAGCACUGUUCUAAGAAUAGUGUUUGUUGUUACUAUUCUAGUUUAAUCCAACAGACUCUUAUCCUCUUCAGUGUUCUAUUACCCUGCAUUGGUGUUAUAAGCCAAGAUGAUAUCACUGUCACAAACUACUGAACUUACUAUGAUUCAAAUGGUCAAAAACUAAUUAUUUAAAUGAGGGCACUACAGAGGGAAAACAAAAGUUACAGAUCCAGUUUUUGAUGUAUUCCUUGACCUUAUUUCUGGACAUGCCAUCUCAUGUAGUUUGAUUGCUUUGUGAUAGCACAGUGCAGAGCUUCAAUUUCUAACGGAAAAAUGUUGUUCUCAUUGAUAUUUUUCCUAGGUACAUAACAGGAGUUUCAUGUUUUCAGAAUAGUAAAUAUAGACUAAUUGAUAUCUUAAAAGGCAUAAAUAUGUGAAUGAAUGAAAAGGUGAGUAAAUAAGUGCUUACUCCUUUAGUAACUUCCCACUGAUGUUUUCAUUUCCCAGAAUGACCAGGGCCUUCACAUUACCGUGGCCUGUAAUGUCCAGCUCUAGUCAACUCCUGCAACCUCAUAUCGUUGCUCCUUUACUUAGCCUUCAGUUCUACUCAUGACCUUCGCGUACCUAGUGUCUUUAUACUGCAGUCCUUAGCAUUUACUUCUUUUGAUUGGGAAGAUAUUCCCACAGCAUUGUGCACAGGUGGCUACUCCACAUUCUCCAUCCCUUCUUGCUUAUCACCCCCAUUUAGAGAUUUUCCUUGAUUAUUUUGAAGUGAGAUUCUCCAGUUCAUCUCCAUUUUUUUAUUCACUUUUUUUCUUCCUAGUAUUAAUACAGCCUAAUAUUAUAUUGCUGAAGUAAAUAUUUUCUAGUUUACUUCUUUUGCACAUUAAGUUACAAAUGCCAUAAGGAUAGUGACCAAUUUUGUCUUAUUCAUCUCUGUAUCCGAAGAGCCUGCUACAUUGUCACUGACUUAAUGAUAGAAUAAAUGGUGAAUGAAUAAUAAAAUCGGAAAUCAGGUUAUCUAUGUAGGAAUUCCUUUCAAUGCCAUAUUUCAUCGUAUGCUGGUGUGUGUAAGUCUUAAGAAACAGUUGGUUUUGUAAACUUUUUUAUUUUUCCUUAAUGUUUGCCCAUAAAGACUGAGAUUAGGUGAUUAAGUGGCUUAUUGUUAUGCUGCAUUUGAAAAUGCUGUCCAGUCUUGUAAUCUGAAUGUUUCACAAAACCAUCAUGAAGAUUUUCAUAAAGCAGUAGCACAAUUAGAAGGGAGAUGGAACACAGAGACAAUAACAGAUACAAUAUCUCAUCCAUGAUUGUCUUUAAUGUCAUCCACUUAGGAGUAGGAAAAGUUAUCUUGAAAUUGAAAUGUGGAUAUACAUUUUGAAUUCUUAGAAAGCUGGCAUGGGGAUAAACAGACCUAUUUUUCUAUGAUUAAUUAGUUGUGAACUCUGGGCACAAAUCACUUAGCUACACUGAGUGUUGGUUUACUCAUCCAUAGAAGUAUAUUUGAGUAGUUAGUCGAAUAGCUGUCCAGCUGUGCUUUGUUGAAAGCUAUAAGCUGGGGUCAAGUAUGUGAAGGAGUCCCAAAUGCCCUACCACUAUACCCCCAAUCUAUCCAGAGAAACCUUGCUUUAAUUCAGUUUUUAUGUUGGAGAGAUCAAUAAAUUUUGAUUUUUUUCAAUUAGUUCUUAGUACUUAAGAGCAUUUGAAAUCUGCUAGGGUAGAUUGUUUUCAAUAUCCCGUGGUAUUUUUUAUAAUAAGAAAAAUAUGAAUUCAAUAUUUAAAGACUUAAUUGAAAAUUCAUUCUAUGCAAGGCACUAUGUUAAAUGCUGUAAGAUGAUAUCCAUACACAGUUGGUUUAUAGCCUCACCCAGUCUAAGGUUACCAUAAUACAAGGUAAAUGUGUAUUAGAAGGACAUAACAGUGACAUAAGCACAGACACAUAAAGUUCAGAAGAGAGGGAACUUAAG
This 7843-nucleotide long non-coding RNA is filed under the name Marmota monax (woodchuck). The record is from RNAcentral. Lineage: Eukaryota; Metazoa; Chordata; Mammalia; Rodentia; Sciuridae.